AAACUUUCAACAACGGAUCUCUUGGUUCUGGCAUCGAUGAAGAACGCAGCGAAAUGCGAUAAGUAAUGUGAAUUGCAGAAUUCAGUGAAUCAUCGAAUCUUUGAACGCACAUUGCGCCCGCUAGUAUUCUGGGGGGCAUGCCUGUCCGAGCGUCAUUU
Molecule: ribosomal RNA, 158 nt
Filed under: Dactylonectria macrodidyma
Lineage: Eukaryota; Fungi; Ascomycota; Sordariomycetes; Hypocreales; Nectriaceae
Description: 5.8S ribosomal RNA
Rfam family: 5.8S ribosomal RNA
About the family: 5.8S ribosomal RNA (5.8S rRNA) is a component of the large subunit of the eukaryotic ribosome. It is transcribed by RNA polymerase I as part of the 45S precursor that also contains 18S and 28S rRNA.
Source: RNAcentral